Molecule: unclassified non-coding RNA, 227 nt
Filed under: Hevea brasiliensis (rubber tree)
Lineage: Eukaryota; Viridiplantae; Streptophyta; Magnoliopsida; Malpighiales; Euphorbiaceae
Source: RNAcentral
GUUAAGUUGACCUUAGUAUCCGUUUUUAGCAAUAGAUAAUGACAGGUAAGACAAGGAUCCCCUAAGGAGAACAUGGUAUGAGUUAUGGUUGAGCAGUGGAUUCUGAAUGAUAAAGGAUUUACGCGUUAUACAAUCAUGAGAACUUCUAAUAUGGCAGCAUUCUGCUACUGCAUGUAUUUCUCAGACGAUUAGUAAUUUAAUCAUAUUGUGCCGGACGAAAACUUUUG